UGUAAAACCCUUUAAUGUUGAAAGACUAGUCGGGAAAGGAAUAAAUACGUGAUUCGACGCUACUGCCGGAAGAAUCACCGUCUAAUUACUUCCCAGCAGCAGCGGUAAUAAUGAGGGGGCUAGCGUUGUUAUCAAUUUUUGGGGGUAAUGGGGGGGUAGGUGGUUGUGAUAUUCAGAUGCGAAGUCAUUCGGCUCAUCAGAAGAACUGCAUCCGAAACUUCAUAGCUCGAGACAGGAGAGGGAAACGGAAUUCCCGGGGUAGAGGUGAAAUUUGUAGAUAUAUCGAGGAACACCAGUGGCGAAGAGGGUUUCUUGGCGUGAUCAAGACACUGAGGCGCGAAAAAGUGGGGAGCAAACACGAUUAGAUACCCCGGUAGAGCACGCGGUAAACGGUGAACACUAGAUGUAUGAGGUGUAAUACCUU
This 424-nucleotide ribosomal RNA is filed under the name uncultured bacterium. RNAcentral describes it as "bacterial SSU rRNA". It matches the Rfam family "Bacterial small subunit ribosomal RNA", at positions 424 to 840 of the family's 1533-position model. The record is from RNAcentral.